UAACUUCUUUGGAUUUGAAUUUCUUCUGUCAGCAAUAGGAGAGAAGUUCAGUCAGAUGAUUUCUAUCUGUGGGAAUCCAACUUUGACUUGUGGUGAUCCUACCCCUUCCUCAGUCUUUUACAAAUUAAGUGGCCUCCUCACCUGAGACGAGUAGAACUGUAUGCACAGUAAGGCACCAGGACGGAUCUAGACUGGCAAAGAAGUGGUGAGAGAAAUGGGGAAAGGGUUAGGGAAGAAGGGAGAGGACUCUCAACUACAGUCAUAGUGAGACCUUGAGUGCCUCUGCGUUAGUCCUUCCUCUUCCUCUACUCCUUGUGUCUCAGCUGAAGGGCAAACUUCAGGGACAAUCUCAUUUUGUUUCUACCACUGUUCAGGGUCCCACCUUGCGACCCUCUCCUGAGAGGUUGUCCACAACUCUGUCCCACCCCCGUUCUCCAUCUUCUUCCGCCAGAUCUGGGGCUGGGGCAUUGGAGAGGGGAAAGAGGAAACGUCGUGGCUGGCAGGGUAGGAAGGGAUGCGUGUCCAGGUGAGAAAGAGGUGUGACGUGCAGAUGGGAUGCCCGCCGCUAUGACGCUGCCGAGACCCGCGGUGACUGCGUCAGAGUUUCACCCGGGGAGGUGAGCAGCAGCGGGACGGGGGAACGGCGGGGUAGCCAAGCAACGCCGGACGCGCUGACGUCGCCGGGGCGGCAAAACGUCCGCCCGGGCCCGAGGCGGGCGGAGGCAGCUGUGGUUACGUGCGGGGGGCCGGUGACGCAGUCGCGGGGCGCUGGGACGCGGCUUGCGGAGCCGGCCGGCGAGCGCAGGCCCCAGGCUCGGGCGCGGCGGCGGGACAGCACCUACCUUCCCGGCUUCGGGUCCGGGAGUGCGGGGCGCGGAGCCGCCGGAGCGCUGCCUCCCUCCUUCCUCCUCCCCUCGCCCCCGCCCCGCGGCGCGACACACAAUACUCGCCGGAAGCGGAAGCCGCGCCGAGGCUCGUGUCAGUGGAAGCUGGGGUGUCGGCGGGCGGCCGCGGCCGGGUCUAGCGGUGCCUGCGGAAGAAGGAGGAGGAGGGCUGGCGAUGAGAAGCAGCAGGGGGAAUCAAGGGCAAGAAGGGACCCAGAGGGGCAGGUGGCUGAGAUGCUGGCGUCCAGGUGACCCGAGGAAUCCUCUGGAGAUACAGGCCCGCGCAUGCGCGUGCUCGAGCGCUGAAGCCCAUUGCCCGCAGGGCGCUGGACUGGCGCCCCGGCCGGCGAGGCUGUCUAGUCCAGGCUCCAGGCCCCGGCUCUGGCCAGGCGCCGCCGCCUCCCGGUGCAGCUGAAAGUCGACGAAGAGGGCGGGGCGGGGGCGGCUUGUGGACUUCCACACUUUUCCUCUCUUCGGGCCAGUCUGGGGAGAGGGUGGCUAGCUGUGGCGGCGGCCAAUUACGUGGCGGACCUGCGGGGCUAAGCUGGCACGUCACUUCCGACUAGUGGAGUUUUUAGCCUUUUAACAUUCAAGGAUUAGAGCUCCCUCUUUGCCCACUAGCAGGGCAUUAGCUGGUGCUGAAGACAGUGGCUGCUUGGCGAGCCUGGAUCUCCAAGUGACCCCCUCAGCAACUCCUGAUGAACAGGACUGAAGCCAAUAUUAAAGCAAGUCAACCAAAGGUUCUCUGGUGUAGACAAGACAGCAAAAGGACAGACUACCUUGUGGAACCUAGCAUUGUUCUCCUUCUGCAGCACUAAGUAACAUUUGUUCUCCGUUAAGAUCUUUGCAAACCACACACAAGAAUUGCUGGUCAUCCUGCCAAUAGAUGCUGCUCACAGAACCAAAUUUCCUGUGCUGAAUUGUCACUCAUGGGCUUGAGAGUAGGAGACUGGAGACCAAGGUGGCUAGAAUCCAGUUGGGCCUGAUGUCUCCCUGUUGAAAGGGCUCCUUGUGGAAUGAAUAGCACAUGGCUCCUGUGGUGGAUCUGAUAGUGGCAUAGCACCAAGUGAUGCAGGCCUGCCAGGGGCCACAGACACAGAAGAUGCUCCCGGGGUCCCCCAUGUACUCCAGACACACUGCAGGCCACCUCUCCCAGCAGGUUGCCAGUCAUGGGCCCCAUCAUCAUGACUUCUGUCCAAGGUGUGCUCGGAAAUCUCUUCCUUAACUGUGACUUUCUGACAGGUGGAGGAUGUGGUCAGGAGUGGGAAAAGGAUUCGAGACGGGAAGAGGGAGGGGUUCAGGAUGAAGAGAGAUAAUCUGUGCCACAGAUGCUGGCCCUGCAGUUAGCUCCCACCUAGUCCGUGCACACACAUUCUAAUCCCCUCCCAUUCCUUUACAUGCUGCGGCCAGAGAGGCCUUUCUCAAAGUGGAAGUCUCAUCCUCACUUCUCUGGUUACAGUGCUGGGCCAUGGUAACUUACAAGGCUUAGCAGGAACUGUCUGCGCACUCCCCCUUCCUGCCCACUACCUUGUUUCCCUCCAGUUGCGAGAGAAAACAUUGAUUGAGCAUUAACUAUGUGCCAGGCUUGUCCUAAGUCCUUUGCAUGUAUUCACUCAAACAAUCCUCACAACAUUCCUAUCACAUCUCCCAUUUCACAGUGAGGGUUCUAAAGCACGUAGUGGGUGAGGAACUUGUCCAGGGUCACACAACUAAGUGGGGGUGGAGAAACAUCAAAUCUAGGUGGUCCAGGUGGUGGCCAGAACCCAUCAGCACCUCACUACAGCUGCCUCCAGUUUCUCGCUCUAGGAAAUACUCUUCCCUGUCAACUCCUGUUGUCCUCUGGGCUCAGUUGACAUGUCAUCUCCUUGAGGAGGACAUCCUGAGAUGCUCCCCGACUAGGGUGGGCACCCACUUCCACACUCCAAAUGCCUAUUUGACCUGUGUAUCGCUGCAUCCCCACUGCCUGGCAGAUAGCAGGCCCCUAAUAAAUAUGAUUUGAGCAAAUAAAUAUAGUUCUUCAAAAAAUAGGGAGGACUUCUUGCUUCAGGUAAUGGUAGGCUAGGACAUUUGGACCAACCCUCCUGCAGAAAAUAGCCAUUUAUUUUGAUGCAAUAUAUCUGGCUAUGACUAGAGAUUUCAAAUAUUUGGAGGGCUAUUAUGUGAAGAACUAAACUUACUCUUUGUGACAUAGAGGUCAGAAAUUGGUCGUUUCCAUAGAGUAUGAGAGAGACAGAAUUGUGCUCAUCAUAAGUAUCUUUUUUAAAAGUUAGACUUAAUAAAAUGGGCUGCCUUGGUAGGUGGUGAGUUCUCUGUCACGAAAGAGAUUCAGCCACUUGCUCUGAGAAAGCAUGGAGAAUAUCAACAUUGUAAGGGUCGACCACCUCAUCUCUGAGGCCCCCUCCUCACUUAGGUUGCCAUUGCAGGUGGAACACUGGGCUGAGUGUCAAAGAACCUGGGUUCCACAAGCUGUGCGACCAUGGCUGGUUGUUUUGGAUCUCAUUCCUAAUAUCUGUUAGUUAAGCUGACCCGUCAAUACUGACCCACUUCACAGAGUUAUGAAGGGAUUAAAUUAGGUAUUACAUGUAAAUCUGUUUUGUUUGCUUUUUGUUGUUCUUUUUUGUUUUGCUUUUUUCUUUGCAUUAUGAAAUCCCAAGUCAACUUUUUCCAUUCUUUUAUUUUUUUAAAAAUUGACAUCAUCAUUAUAACCACAAAAUAAUUUUUAAAAUGGAAAAAAAAAACUCACCUGCAACCCCACAAUCUAAUACAAUAAUCAUACUUUUUUCCCUUUAUUCUCCUUUAUUGUGACCAAGGAUGACUUUGGGCAUUGCUGUGAGGAACUAUUUCGUUUAACACCCUACUACCUGAACAUGAUGCGUACUCAGCCUUUCACCACCCCCCAAGUAGCUACACAUGAUGUGAUAAUAGUAUUGGUGGUGGUUUUAGAGAGUUGGAGAGAAAACUGAAGUUGGAUUUGGGUAAAAGAAAAAAGAGUGGGAAUUAUUUUUUCUCCAUUCUAAAGCCCAUAAAGCAAUGUUAAUUGUUCCCACCCCUCUGCUAUUCUGUCUCCUCAGGUACUGUGUGCAGAAAUGUGAUUGAGAUUCAAGUCAGGGCCUCUCUGCCCUUUUCCCUCCAGAAACAAAACCAAGAUAAUUUAUCCUGAACACGGUGAAAAAAGGAAGGGAGGGAGGAGAAAAAGUCCGGGUCUCACCUGGGAUUCUCUGUCUCCUGCAACAUGAAGGAUUUAGCCUGGGAGGAGGUGGUGAGAACUCUGGGAGAGAAAAAAGAAGGAAAGAAUAGUUUUACCCAUGCUGAAGUUAAUUUAAACCUUCACCUAGAGAAGCAAAAAAAAAAAACCCACACUUUCCCAUUUUGUGCCUCCCUUCCUAGAGUUUUAGCCAAAGGUUUAGCUAAGUAAUUGGUUUUACCAGCGCACUCACUCCUCCUAUCCCAAGUCUGUUUGACUCCCUCCCCAUCAUCCUCCUCACCUCUUUUCAGGCAGGGUGGGGAUAGCAGCAGGAGGAGAUUUUGGGAGCCUGGCAACUCCUGCAAGGACCGCAGGACAGCCCCUCUGUGGGGAUGCGUGGUGCCCCAUCUGCCGCCCUUCUGAAGAAUGCACUGCCUUCACUUUUUACUGUGUUAGAGUCCAUCCAGACUGUUCUAUCCAAAAAAGUUUCUUUUUCCCCCACAGGCAAUCAGGAAAUGAUUCCUUUCCCGACUGCUUCUGUCUAGUGCCUGGGAAUCUUGAGUCAAUCCCUCAGUAAGUCAGUGACUAGGGAAAUCCCUCUCUGAGCCUCCCAGUUCAUGUUGCUUAGGGAACCUGAUAUUUUCGUGAAACCUGCCUACACAUGGGCAGCCCAACAGCAGAACAAAUGGUGGUGACCAAAGUGAACAAAGAAGUAUAGUUGUGCCAGCUUCGUAGUUGCCCAUGUGGACAAGUCAGCAGGAUCAGGACACGAGGAAGAGUAAAUGUGAGACAGUCAAUGUGACUUCUGCGAUAAACAGAUUUUUAAACCCCGAAAUUUUGCAAAAUUUUGGUGAAACCUGAACUUUCUUCGUUGCAUAUACUGGCACUAUCUGUACCAUCAUACAACUGUCUCACAUUAAAGCUAUUUUUCUUGGGCACUGAUGAGUAAGGUUGGUAUAAGUUCCUCAGAUCAACAAAAACCCAUUUUCCUGUAAGUCUUACAUUUAGUAUUUAAGGAACUAAAACUUAAAUACAUUUUGUGAAAUGGUUGACACUUCACUGAUAAUGAUUUAUUGCUUGGAUUAAUAAAUUUUCCAAAAGUUGUCUUAUGUAGAAUAUGGUUUGCAACCAGCAGAACCAUUAAUCUAUACUGCAAUGAUAUGCACUAUGUAUAAUUGUUUAAAAGCCUCUACUUAAUGAUGUAAAAUGCUCUAUUUAAUUACACAUUUGGGUAAACUGUAUACUAACAUCUGAUGGCAUUUUUCCACUGUUUGUUGCUUUUUUCAAAUACUUUAUUGUACAAAGCUGUUCUUAAUAUUUUUCAAGUUUUUUUCUUUGAAUUUUGCUAAUGUUUUCCUUGAAUUAUGAGCACUGACAGAAUGUGCUUAGCACUUUUGGCUAUUCACACAGCUUUUGAGCAUGAUUUGCAUCCAAUAUUUACAUUGCUAGCAAUAAUAAGCCAUCUGUGAGUUUUGUCAAAAGUUAUUGGGGAUUUUUUAAAUUUUAGAAAUGCAAAUUAUUGUUUCUUUGAACUAACUCUUAUGCAGUUGCAAAGGCAUUUCCAGUUGUUAUAGUUUGUGUACAAUAUCAGGUGUUCCAGAUUAUGAUUCAUUAUUAAUAUCAUUGCUUCCUUGUUCCCUCUGAGGUCCAGAAGAUUCAUGUUUACAAUAUUUAGAAACAAUGUUAAAAAGGUAUCCAAAGUUUGUCACUUUAUUAUUAGUUUGUUCUUAAUAUUCUGUUUAAGUUUUUGAAUUCAUAGAUAUCAAAACGCUGCACAAUUAUGAUUUCCACAGGAAUAACAACACACUAACAAUAAGAACCAAAAACAGCAAAUAGGCUGCCUACAAGUUUUGACAAUAUUAGGAUAAUGAUAAUGACAGUUUUUCUAAAUCUCACAGUAAAGAAUGCAGCAACCCAGCAACACUGCUACCUGUGGCCUCAGGCUGCAGUGUCAGCUCUUCCCUGGGUCUCCAGCCUGCCAGUCUAACCUGAAAAUUAUGUACUUGCCAGCCCCCACAGUCACGUGAGUGAACUGGCCCAGGCUGGUCACCAGGGUCAGUUUCUCUGUGUGUCAUUAAUUCAUUCAGUCUUCAGCAGUCUCUUUGGAGCUGAGAUGUACCUACCAUCUGCCUUUUGGGUGCUUAGGGUGGAGAACCAGAAAAGUAUAACCUAGUGUGUAUCCUCAAAGAGCUAACAAUAUGGGGUGGUACCUAUAGGUCUGGAAACACUUUACUGACUCUGUGAGGCAUACCAGGAGACGUCAGAGAACAGUCCCUCCUCAAAUGCCAAAUGAGAUGCAGAAGAAAUAGUUUGCUCAAGUUCAUGGGCCAGAUAUCCCAGUGGUCAGGGAGUUUCAUGAAUGAGAUGGAACUUUGCAUGGAACCCGAGGGAUGUGUAUGAUUUGAGUAGAUGAAGAAAAUGAGACUUUCCAAGCAGCUAGAAGUUAGGGAGCAGCAAGAUGUGUGGUGGGAUUGAGCACAGUUGGUUCAGAGGAUAGACUGCAGUUUUAAUAAUUUGUAGUAAAUAUCUCCCAACUGUUUGGCACUAUUGGAGCAAGUUCUUGAAUGCCAAAUGAAGGCAUAAAUCAGUAAGAGGCAUAAUAAAAGGCUGAGCAGUGCUUGGCUUUUUACGAACUGAUCCUGAUAGGAGCAGCUGUUCAACAAAGUUGCCAGGUCACCGUUACAUAGUCCCUGCCUUCUAGGGGCUCACUGCCUACUGGGAGAGACAGUCUGAAAGUUGGUGGAGCAUGUAACUGUUGGAUGAGGAGUUUGAGCCUGUGGACUGUGGGACCCCCGAGGAGGGUGUGGCUACUCUAGGCAGAACAAUCCCACAGUUUAUUUAUAUUUAACCUUGAAAUUCAUUAGAGGAUUUUUCAGCAGAGGUUUGGUACUUGUUAAUGUUAAGGUUUGCAUUCUCUAGAACCUCAAGGAAAGCUGUACCGUGCAUAAUGUACCCUCUUAUGUUAAUGUUGUGUACUGUGAUCCUGUUUCAGGGACUUGCACUUAGGAAUCUGUUACAGUGAGCACAGAAGCAGACCUGUGGGCUCAUAGUCUUCACCCCCCACCCAUAUAUACAAGAUGAACAGAGUGGAGGUUAAACAACUUGACUAAACAACACAGUUCAUGGUAAAGCCCAAGACUGUACCUGCCCAUCCACUGCCUUUUCCAUGUAUCCUGGAACUGAGCAUAGACCUCUUCCCAGGCAGAGCUGACAGCAAGUAAAGGAGAUCAUAAUCAGGGGACCAAACAACUUUGUCUAAAGUGUGAAUGUCACCUAAGGAGAAGCUGUGAGAUCAGAAGGGUGGGGCAGAGGAGCAGACACCAUGAGGGAGAGUCCUUGGGGGUACAUCUGCCAGACUGACACUGUCUGGCCUGGGCAGUGGAGGGGCUAGCAGGAACCACAGGUACUGGUGGUGUGGCUACUACCGUUACAACUGCCUGUGCUUGGACAUGGACCCUCUGCAAUAUGCGGCAGUUUCAUUCAUUGCCCCCUACAUUCUACACCAAGUAGAAAUGGAAGGCAAUUGGAUACUUCACAGACAAGAUCUAAGUGGAGAAGGAAUGCGUCCUGUGGCUGCAGAGAUCCUUGGAGCUUGGAGGGGAGAGCUUGAGCCCCACUGAUGAUGACCUCCCACAGCUCGCCAACUCAGCCCUCCCUAAGUCCCCAUCGGGGGCCAAUUCUCACUCUGGGGUUGGGGGGACUCCACCAUAGCUCAUCCAUCAUAGGGAUGUUGGUAUCUACUGUGGGUUGGGUAGGGCCGAUGUGCUGAGGAUGGCUCCCCCACAAGCAAGAGAUGUGGAUUUGGGGAGCUUCCCAUCUUGUGUUGAAGGAACAUAACUCAGAAUAAUAAGAGCCAACUAUAACAAACCCACAGCCAACAUCAUACUGAAUGGGCAAAAGCUGCAGGCAUUCCCCUUGAAAAGUGGCACAGGAUAAGGAAGCCCUUUCUCACCACUCCUAUUCAAUAUAGUGUUGAAAGUCCUGAUCACAGCAGUCAGGCAACAGAAAUAAUAAAGGGCAUCCAAAUAGGAAGAGAGGAAGUCAAACUAUCCUUGUUUGCAGACAGUAUGAUUCUAUAUCUAGAAAACCCCAUAGCCUCAGCCCAAAAGGUCCUUCAUCUGAUAAUUUCAGCAAAGUUUCAGGAGACAAAAUCAGUGUACAAAAAUCACUAACAUUCCUAUACACAGUCGCCAAGCCAAGAGCCAAAUCAGGAGCACAAUCCCAUUCAUAAUUGCCACAAAAAAGAAUAAAAUACCCAGGAAUGCAGCUAACCAAGGAAGUAAAGGAUCUCUACAAUGAGAAUCACAAACGCUGCUCAAAGAAAUCAGAGAUGACACAAACAAAUGGAAAAACUUUCCAUGCUCAUGGCUAGGAAGAAUCAAUAUCAUUAAAGUGGCCAUACUACCCAAAGCAAUUUAUAGAUUCAAUGCUAUUCCUAUCAAACUAUCAAUUACAUUUUUCACAGAACUAGAAAAAACUUAAAAUUCAUAUGGAACCAAAAAGCCUGAGUAGUCAAGGCAAUCCUAAACAAAAAGAACAAAGGUGGAGGCAUCACAUUACCUAACUUCAAACUACAGGGCUACCAUGACCAAAACAGCAUGGUACUGGUACAAAAGCAGACACACAGACCAGUGGGACAGAAUAGAGAGCCCAAAAAUAAGGCCACAAACCUACAGCCAUCUGAUCUUCAACAAAGUUGACAAAAACAAGCAAUGGGGAAAGGUCUCCCUAUUCAAUAAAUGGUGCUGGGAUAACUGGCUGGCCAUAUGCAGAAGAUCGUAACUGGACCCCUUUUACUAUGUACAAAAAUUAAGAUGGUUUAAAGAGUUAAAACCCAAAAUUAUAAAAAUCCUGAAGAUAACUUAGGCAAUACCAUUCUGGACAUAGGAACUGGCAAAUAUUUCAUGAUGAAGACACCAAAAGCAAUUGUAACAAAAGCAAAAAUGGACAAAUUGGAUUUAAGAGCUUUUUCAUAGCAAAAUAAACAACAGGGCAGACAAUCUACCAAAUGACAGAAAAUUUUUGCAAACUAUGCAUCUGACAAGGGGCUAAUAUCUAGCAUCUAUAAGGAAUUUAAACACAGUUACAGGAAAAAAAAAACCCACUCCAUUAAAAAAUGGGCAAAGGACAUGAACAGACACUUUUCAAAAAAGACAUACAUACAGCCAACUAGCGUGUUAAAGAAAACCUCAAUUAUCACUGAUCAUUAGAGAAAUGCAAAAUCAAAACCAUGAUGAGAUAUCAUCUGCCAGUCAGGAUGGCUACAAAAAAGUAAAAAAAUAAUAGAUGUUGGUGAGGUUAUGGAGAAAAGGAACUUAUACACUUGUUAGGAGUGUAAAUUAGUUCAAUCACUGUGGACAGCAGUGUGGUGAUUCCUCAGAGAGCUAAAAACAACUACCAUUUGACUCACCAAUCCCAUUACUGGAUAUUUACCUAAAGGAAUAUAAAUCAUUCCACCAUAAAGACACAUGCAAGUGUAUGUUCAUUGCAGCACUAUUAACAGUAACAAAGCUGGGCACAGUGGCUCACCUCACGACUGUAAUCCCAGCACUUUGGGAGGCUGAGGUAGGCGGAUCACCUGAGGUCGGCAGUUUGAGACCAGCCUGACCAACAUGGAGAGACCCCAUCUCUACUAAAAAUACAAAAUUAGCCAGGUGUGGUGGCUCAUGCCUGUAAUCCCAGCUACUUGGGAGGCCAAGGCAGGAGAAUUGCUUGAACCCAGGAGGCAGAGGUUGCAGUGAGCCGAGAUCACACCAUUGCACUCUAGCCUGGUGAAGGAGCAAGACUCCAUCUCAAAAAAAAAAAAAAAAAAGAAAGAAAGAAAAAUACACAUUCAGAGGAGACAAAAAAUAAAAAACAAUGAUGCAUGCCCACAGGAUCUAGAAAAUAACUUCUUAAGGGCAAAUCUAGGAGUUAUUGGCCUUAAAGAAGAGAUAGAGAAAGAGAUAGGAAUAGAAAGUUUGUUGAAAGGGAUAAUAACAUAGAACUUCCUAAACCUACAGAAAGAUAUUUAUAUCCAAGUACAAGAAGGUUAUAGAACACCAGGCCAAUUUAACCCAAAGAUUACCUCAAGGCAUUUAAUAAUCAAACUCCCACAGGACAAGGGUAAAGAAAGGAUCCUAAAAGCAGCAAGAGAAAAGAAACAGAUAACAUACAAUGGAGCUCCAAUACAUCUGGCAGUAUAUUUUUCAGUGGAAACCUUACAAGCCAGGAGAGAGUGACAUGACAUAUGUUAAAGUGCUGAAGGGAAAAAACCUUUUACCCUAGAAUAGUAUAUCCAGCAAAAAUAUCCUUCAAACAUGAAGAAUAAACAAAGACUUCCCCAGACAAACAAAAGCUGAGGGAUUUCAUCAACACUAGACUGGUCCCAUAAGAAACGCUUAAGGGAGUACUUUGGUCAGAAAGAAACAGACAUUAAUGAGCAACAAAGAAUCAUCUAAAGGUAAAAAACUCACUGUUAAGAGUAAGUACACAGAAAAACCCAAAGUGUGAUAACAUUGUAACUGUGGUGUGUAAGUAGAAAGAAUAAAUGAUAAACCAAUCAAAAAUAGUAACUACAACUUUUCAAGACCAGUCAGAAAAAUAAGAUAAAAUUAGAAACAACAAAAAGUUAAAAAGUGGGGGGAUGAAGUUAAGAUGUAGAGUUUUUAUUAGUUUUUUGUUUGUUAAUGCAAACAGUGUUACCAGGUUAAAAUAAUGGGUUACAAAAUAGUAUUUGUAAUCCUUAUGGUAACCUCAAACCUAAAAACAUACACUGGAUACAUAAAAAAUAAAAAGCAAAAACCUAAAUCAUAUCACCAGAGCAAACUACCUUCCCUAAAGGAAGACAGGAAGAAAAGAAAGAAGAAGACCACAAAACAACCAGAAAACAAAUAAAUAACAAGGCAGGAGUAAGUCUUUACUUAUCGAUAAUACAUUGAAUGGAAAUAUGGACUAAACUCUCCAAUCAAAAGACAUAGACUGGCUGAAUGAAUGGAGAAAACAAGACCCAUUGAUCUGUUGCCUACAAGAAACACACUUAAACUAUAAAGACACACAUAGGCUGAAAGUAAAGAGUUGGAAAGAGUUAUUCCAUGCCAAUGGAAACCAGGAAAAAGAGAAGGAGUAUUGAUUUUGAUACAAAAACUAUGAGACAAAUAAAGUCACUAUACAAUGAUAAAGGGGUUAAUAUGGUUUCCAUUUGUGCCCCACCCAAAUUUCGUGUUCUAUUGUAAUCCUCAAUGUUGGAGGUGGGGCCUGGUGGGACGUGAUUAGAUCAUGGGGGUGGAUCUUUCAUGACUAAUUCAGCACCAUCUUCUUAGUGCUGUUCUCAUGAUAGUGAGUUCUUCUGAAAUCUGGUUGCUUAAAAGUGUGUAGCACCUCUCCACACCACCCGCUUGCCUUGGUCUACUCCUGCUAUGUAGAUGCUUGCUCCCACUUUGCAUUAUUCCAUGAGUAAAAGCUCCCUCAGGCCUUCCCAGAAUCAGAUGCCGCUAUGCUUCCUGAACAGCCUGUGGAACUAUGAGCCAAUUCAACCUCUUUUCUUCAUAAAUUAACAAGUCUUGGGUAUUUCUUUAUAGCAGUGUGAGAACAGAAUAAUACAGAAAAUUGGUAAAGAGGAGUGAGGCAUUGCUAGAAAGAUACCUGAAAAUGUGGAAACAGCAGUGGAACUGGGAAAUAGACAGAGGUUGGAAGAGUGUGGAGGGCUCCGAAGAUAGGAAGAUGAGGGGAAGUUUGGAAUUUCUUAGAGAUUUGUUAAAUUGUUUUGACCAAAAUACUGAUGGUGAUAUGGACAAUGAAGUCCAGGCUGAGGAGGUCUCAGAUGGAGAUGAGGGACUUAUUGGGACCUGGAGUGAAGGUCACUUUUGUUAGGACAUUGUGGUUGGAGACAUUGUGCCCCUGCCCUAGGAAUCUGUGGAACUUUGAACUUGAGAGCGAAGAUUUAGGGUAUCUGGCAGAAGAAAUUUCUAAGCAGCAAAGCGUUCAAGACGUGGCCUGGCUGCUUCUGGUAGUCUGUGCUCAUAUUUGUGAGCAAAGACAUGACAAGAAACUGGAACUUAUAUUUAAAAAGGAAGCAGAGUGUAAAAGUUUGGAGAAUUUGCAGCCUGGCCAUGUUGUAGAAAAGAAAAAAACCAUUUUCUGGAGAGGAAUUCAAGCUAGCUGCAGAAAAUUGCAAGUAACAAGGAGCAAAAUGUUGAUAGCCAAGAUAGUGGGAAAAACACCUUGAAGGCAUUUCAGAUACCUUGGGGGCAGCCUCUCCCAUCACAGGCCCAAAGGCCUAGGAGGGAAGGAUGGUUUCCUGGGCCAGGCUCAGGGUCCUGCUGCCCUGCACAACCUCAGGAAACUGCUCUCCAAAUCCCAGCUGCUCCAGCUCCAGCUUCAGCUCAAAGGGCCCCAGGUAUAGCUCAGGCUGCUGCUCCAUAGGAUGCAAGUUAUAAGCCUUAGUGGCUCCCGUGUGGUGUUAAAUUAAGCCUGUAGGUGCACAGAGUGCAAGAAUUGAGGCUUGGGAGCCUCCAACUAGAUUUCAGAGUAUGUGUGGGAAAGCCUGGAUGUCCAGGCAGAAGCCAGCUGCAGGGACAGAGCCCUCAUGGAGAACCUCUACUAGGGUAGUGUGGAGGGGAAAUUUGGGGUUGGAGUUCCCACACAGCUUCCCCUCUGGUGUACUGCCUAGUGGAGCUGUGAGAAGACAGCCACUGUCCUCCAGAUUCCAGGAUGAUAGAUCUGCCAAUGACAGCUUGCACUGUACAACUGGAAAAGCCACAGGCAGUCAAUGCCAGCCCGUGAAAGCAGUGACAGUGGCUUACCCUGCAAAGUCCCAGGGGCUGAGCUGCCCAAGGCCUUGGGAGCCCACCCCUUGCACCAGUGUGCCCUGGAUGUGAGAUAUGGAGUCAAAGGAGAGUAUUUUGGAGCUUUAAGAUUUAAUGACUACCUGCUGGGUUUCAGACUUGCAUGGGUCCAGUAGCCCCUUUCUUUUGGCCAAUUUCUCACUUUUGGAAUGGGAGUGUUUACCCAAUUCCUGUACCCCCACUGUAUGUUGGAAGUAACUAACUGUUUUUUUAUUUUGUAAGCUCACAGGUGGGAGAGACUUGCCUUGUCUCAGGUUGAGACUCUGGACUUUGGACUUUUGAAUUAAUGCUGGAAUGAGUUAAGACUUUGAGGGACUGUUGGGAAGAUAUAACUGUAUUUUGCAGUAUGAGAAGGACAUGAGAUUUGGGAGACACCAGAGGUGGAAUAAUAUGAUUUGGAUCUGCAUCCCCACCAAAAUCUCAUGUUCAAUUGUAAUCCUAAAUUUUGGAGGUUGAGCCUGGUGGAAGAGGAUUGGAUAAUGGGGGUGGUUUCUCAUGGUUUAACACCAUCCCCCUGGGUGCUGUUCUCAUGACAGUGAGUGAGUUAUUGUGAGAUCUGAUUGUUUAAAAGUGUGUGCCACCUCCUCCCACUUUCCUCCUGCUCCAGCCAUGUAAGACAGGCUUGCCUCCCCUUCACCUUUUGUCAUGAUUGUAAGUGUUCUGAGGCCUCCCCAGCCAUGCUUCCUGUACAGCCUGCAGAACUGUGAGCCAAUUAAACCUCUUUUCUCUAUAUAUUACCCAGUCUCGGGUAUUUCUUUAUAGCAGUGCAAGAAUAGACUAAUACAGGGUUCAAUUCAGCAAGAGGAUAUAACAAAUAUAAAUAUAUAUGCACUCAACACUGCAGCACCCAGAUAUAUAAAGCAAAUACGAUUAGAGCUAAAGAGAGAGAGUGACCCCAAUACAAUAAUAGCUGGAGACUUCAACACCACAUUUUCAGCACUGGACAGAUCUUCCAGACAGAAAAUAAAAAAGAAACAUCAGACUUAAUCUGCACUGUAGAUCAAAUGGAUCUAAUACAUACUUGCAGAACAUUUUAUCCAAUGGCUGCAGAAUACACAUUCUUUUUUAGCACAUGUAUCAUUCUCAAGGAUAGACCAUAUGUUAGGUCACAAGUCUUAAAACAUUAAAAAAGUUGAAUACCAUCAAGCAUCUUCUCUGACCACAGUGGAAUACAACUAGAAACUAAUAACAAGAGGAAUUUUUGAAACUACAAAUACAUGAAAAUUAAACAAUAUGCUCCUGAAUGACCAUUGAGUCAAUGAAGAAAUUAAGAAGGAAAUUGAACAAUUUCUUGAAACAAAUGAUAAAGGAAACACAACAUACCAAAACCUAUGGGAUACGGCAAAAGCAGUACUAAGAGGCAAAUUGAUAGCUAUAAGUGCCUACAUGAAAAAAGAGGAAAAACUUCAAAUAAGCAAUUUAACAAUGAACCUUAACCAGAAAAGCAAGAGCAAAACAAACACAAAAUUAGAAGAAAACAAAUAAUAAAAAUUAGAGCAUAAAUAAAUAAAAUUGAAAUAAAAAUCAAUGCAAAAGAACAAUGAAACAAAAAGUUGCUUUUUUUCAAAAGUUAAACAAAACUGACAAGCCUUUAGCAAGACUGAGAAAAAAGAGACAAGAUACAAAUCAGAAAUGAAAAAGACAUUACAACUGACACUGCAGAAAUUCAAAGGAUCAUUAGGGGCUACUAUGAGCAACUCUAUGCCAAUAAAUUGGAAAAUCUAGAAGAAAUUGACAAUUCCUAGACACAUACAACCUACUGAGACUGGACCAGGAAGAAAUCCAAAACCUGAACAGACUAAUAACAAGUAACAAGGUUGAAGCCAUAAUAAAAAGUCUCCCACUAAAGAAAACCAAGGACCCGAUGGCUUCACUGUUGAAUUCUACCAAACAUUUAAAGAAGAACUAAUACCAAUCCCACUCAAGCUAUUGAAAAAUAGAGGAGGAGAGAAUAUUUCCAAAGUCAUUCUAGGAGACCAGUAUCACCCUGAUACCAAAACCAGACAAAGACACAUCAAAAAAAGAAAACUGCUGGCCAAUUUCUCUGAUGAAUAUUGAUGCCAGAAUCCUCAGCAAAAUAUUAGCAAACUAAAUUCAACAAUACAUUAAAAAGAUCAUUCAUCAGGGUCGGGUGCAGUGGCUUAAGCCUCUAAUCCCAGCACUUUGGGAGGCCGAGGUGGGCAGAUCACCUGAGGUCAGGAGUUCAAGACCAGCCUGACCAACAUGGUGAAACCUCGUCUCUACUGAAAAUACAAAAUUAGCCGAGUGUGGUGGUGCAUGCCUGUAAUCCCAGCUACUCAGGAGACUGAGGCAGGAGAAUCACUUGAACCCAGGAGGUGGAGGUUGCAGUGAGCUGAGAUUGUGGCACUGCACUCCAGCCUUGGUGACAGAGUGAGACUCCAUUAAAAAAAAAAUCAUUUAUCAUGACCAAGUGGGAUUUAUCCCUGGAAUGCAAGGAUGGUUCAACACAUGCAAAUCAAUCAAUGUAAUACAUCAUAUCAAAAAGAAUGAUUAAAACCAUAUGAUUAUUUCUAUUGAUGCUGAAAAAGUAGUUUAUAAAAUCCAACAUCCCUUCAUGAUAAAAACCCUCAAAAAACUGUAUAAAAGAAAUAUACCUCAACGUAAUAGCCAGAUAUGACAGACCCACAGCUAGUAUCAUACUGAAUGGGGAAAAAGUGAAAGACUUUCCUAUAAGAUCUGGAACACAACAGGGAUGUUCACUGUCACCACUGUUAUUCAACAAAGUACUGGAUGUUCUAGCUAGAGCGAUCAGACAAGAGAAGAUAUAAAGGCCAUCCAAACUGGAAAGGGAGAAGUUAAAUUACCCUAGUUUGCAGAUGAUAUGAACUUAUAUUUGGAAAAAACCUAAAGGCUCCACAGGAAAACUAUUAGAAUCAAUAAAUUCAGUAAAGUUGCAGGACACAAAAUCAACAUAUAAAAACCAGUAGCAUUUCUAUAUGUCAACAGUGAACAAUUUGAAAAAUUUUAAAUUUAAGAAGGUAAUUUCAUUUACAAUAGCCACACAUAAAAUUAAAUACCUAGGAAUUAACCAAAAAUGUGCAAGAUAUCUAUGAGGAGAAUUAUAAAACAUUGAUGAAAGAAAUUGAAGAGGACACAAAAAAAAUGGAAAAAAUUCCAUCUUUAUGGAUUGGAAGAAUCAAUAUUGUUAAAAUGUCCAUACUACCCAAAGCAAUCUACAGAUUUAAUGCAAUCCCUAUCAAAAUACCAAUAAUAGUCUUCAGAGAAAUAGAAAAAAAAAUCCCAAAAUUUAUAUGAAAACACAGAAUGCCCAGAAUAGCCAAAAUUAUAUUAAGCAAAAAGAUCAAAACUGGAGGAAUCACAUUACCUGACUUCAAAUUAUGCUACAGAGCUAUAAUCACCAAAACAGCAUGGUACUGACAUAAAAACAGACACAUAGUCCAACAGAACAGAAUAGAGAACCUAGAAACAAAUCCACACACUCACAGGGAACUCAUUUUUGACAGAGUUGCCAAGUACUUAUACUGGAGAAAAGAAAAGACAGUCUCUUCAAUGAAAUGGUGCUGGGAAAACUGGAUAUCCAUAUGCAGAAGAAUGAAACUAGACCCCUACCUCUCACUGUAGACAAAAGUCAAAUCAAGGCUAGGCAUGGUGGCUUACACCUGUAAUCUCAGCACUUUGGGAGGCUGAGGCAGGCGUAUCACGAGGUGAAGAGAUUGAGACCAUCCUGACCAACAUGGUGAAACUCACCCCCCCCCACCCACUAAAAAUACAAAAAUUAGCUGGGCGUGAUGGCAUGUGCCUGCAGUCCUAGCUACUCAGGAGGCUGGGGCAGGAGAAUCGCUUGAACCCAGGAGGUGGAGGUUGCAGUGAGCUGAGAUUGUGCCACUGCACUCCAGCCUGGCGACAGAGCAAGACUCCAUCUCAAAAAAUAAAAAAUAAAUUCAAAAUGUAAUAAAGACUUAAAUCUAAGACCUCAAACAUGAAACUACUAUAAGAAAACAUUGGGGAAAACCUCCAGGACAGUAGUCUGGCCAAAAAUUUCUUGAGCAAUACCCCACAAGCACAGGCAACCAAAAUAAAACUGGACAAAUAGUAUCACAUCAAGUUUAAAAGCUUCUACAAAGCAAAGGAUACAAUCAAUAAAGAGACAACCCACAGAAUGGGAGAAAAUAUUUGCAAACUACCCAUCUGACAAAGAAAUAAUAACCAGAGUAUAUAAGAAGCUCAAACAACUCUAUAGUAAAAAAAAAAAAAAAAAAAAUUCUAAAAGUCUAAGUAAAAAAAUGGGCAAAAGAUUUGAAUAGACAUUUCUCAAAAGAAGACAUACAGGCCAUGCGUGGUGGCUCAUGCCUGUAAUCCCAGCACUUUGGGAGGCCCAGGCGGGUGGAUCACUUGAGGUCAGGAGUUCGAGACCAGCCUGACCAACAUUGUGAAACUCCGUCUCUACUAAAAAUACAAAAAUAAGCCAGGCAUGGUGGCGCACACCUGUAAUCCCAGCUACUCAGGAGGCUGAGGCAGGAGAAUCGCUUAAACCUGGGAGACAGAGGUUGCAGUAAGCCGAGAUCACACCACUGCACUCCAGCCUGGGCAACAAAGUGAGACUCCGUCUCACAAAAAAAAAAAAAAAAAAAAAAAAAAAAGAAAAGAAAAAGGAAGAAGACAUACAAAGCCAGGUACAGUGGCUUAUGCCUCUAAUCCUAGCACUUUAGGAGGCCAAGGCAGAUGGAAUUGAGCCCAGAAGUUUGAGACCAGACUGAGCAAUAUGGUCAAACCCCAAUUCUGCAAAAUACAAAAAUAAAAAAUAGCUGGGAGUGGUGGUGCACACCUGUAGUCCCAGCUACUUAGGAAGCUGAGAUGGGAGGAUCACUUGAGCCUGCAGUGAAUCAUAAUUGCACCAAUGCACUCCAGCCUGGGCGACAGAGUGAGAGACAUUGUCUCAAAAAAAAGAAAAAGAAAAAAAAGAAAGGACAUAAAAAUGACAAACAGGCAUAUGAAAAGGUGCUGAUGAUUAUUGAUCCUCAGAGAAAUGCAAAUCAAAACUGCAAUGAGAUAUAAUCUCACCCCAGUUAAAAUGGCUUAUAUCCAAAAGACAGGCAAUAACAAAUGCUGGUGAGGAUGUGGAUAAAAGGGAACCCUCGUACACUGUUGAUGGGAAUGUAAAUUAGUACAACCACUAUGGAUAACAGUUUAGAGGUUCCUCAGAAAACUAAAAAUUGAGUUGCGAUAUGAUGCAACAAUCCUACUGCUGGGUAUAUACCCCACAAAAGACAAAACCAGCGUUUUGCAUGGUGGCUCACACCUGUAAUCCCAGCACUAUGGGAGGCCGAGGAGGGCAGAUCACUUGAGCCCAGAAGUUCAAGACCAGCCCGAGCAACAUGGCAAAACCUGAUUUCUACAAAAUACAAAAAAAAAAUUAGGCAGUUGUAGUGGUUCACACCUAUAGUCCUAGCUACUGUGGAGGCUGAGGUAGGAUCACUUGAACCUAGGAGGUGGAGGUUGCAGUGAGCCAAGAUCAUGCCACUGCACUCCAGCCUGGGUGACAAAGUGUGACCCUGUCUCAAAAAAGAAAAUCAGUAUAUGGAAGAGGUAUCUGCACUCCUAUGUUUUUUACAACACUGUUUACAAUAGCUAAGAUUUGGAAGCAACCUAAAUGUCUAACAGCAGAUGAAUGGAUAAGGAAAAUUUGGUAUGUAUACACAAUGAAGUACUAUUCAGCCAUAAAAAGGAAUGAGAUCCAGUCAUUUGCAACAGCAUGGAUGGAAGUGGAGAUCAUUAUGUUAAAUGAAAUAAGCCAGGCACAGAAAGGCAAACAUGGCAUGUUCUCACUUAUUUGUGGGACCUAAAUUCAAAACAAUUGAACUAAUGGACAUAAAGAGUAGAAGAAUGGUUACCAGAGGCUAGGAAUGGUAGUGGGGGGCUGAAGGGAAGGUGGGGAUGUUUAAUCGGUAAAAAAAAAUUUAGAAGAAUAAGACCUACUAUUUGAUAGCACAAUAGGGGGACUAUAGUCAAUAAUGCACAUUUAAAAAUAGUGUAAUUGAAUGGUUUGUAACUCAAAGGAUAAAUGCUUGAGGGAAUGGAUACCCCAUUCUCCAUGAUGUGCUUAUUUCACAUUGCAUACCUGUAUCAAAACAUCUCAUGUACCCCAUAAAUAUAUGCAGCUAUUAUGUACCCAC
This 19048-nucleotide long non-coding RNA is filed under the name Homo sapiens (human). RNAcentral's name for it is "PREDICTED lncRNA (TCONS_00229676)". Lineage: Eukaryota; Metazoa; Chordata; Mammalia; Primates; Hominidae. The record is from RNAcentral.